UCUCUCUCCCAGAAAUCAAUUAAAAAUAUAUAUAUAUUUUUAAAAAAAACAGGUAAAAAAGAAUAAAUAAAAUGUCAUUAAUGCAAUUAAGAACACCAAAGGUUGAGAUGGACACGAGGGAGGGGAAAGGGCCUGAUGGGAAAGCAGCCUUCAGGGUGGAGGGAAGGAGAAGGUUAUACAAAGAGGCGAGUGUGGCUCUGGCAGGAAGAGGACAGUAAAAGCUGCUGCUGAUCUCAUUGGGCCUUAAAAAAAUGAAGUACAAUCACAUGUGUUUAUGGUAACAUGUACUAUUAGUAGAUGUGCUUAAACUAAUGUCAAUAAAAAUUGGAUAUUCCUGAAAUCGCAUUAUGAUGUAGACAGAUUCCCCCAGCAAUAGACGUGAUUUGAUGUCUUGGUAACCGCAGCAUCGCCAACGGGCUGUAAAUGCCACAAGGCAGGCCCCAGGCCUCCCUCACCUCCCCGGUCCCAAGGAACAGAUUGUAAGUCAGCAGCAAAAUGUUCGGUUACCUUUUCUCGUGAAGGACAACUGUGCAUUAAGGAAAGGUCUGUGCUUUUCAAAACUGGCACGCAGAGAGAGGAAAGCCCGCGGGGAGAGAGACAGGAGAUCCAGGCGGCAGAGUGUCCCCUGAGAGCUCAGGGCACCUGUCACGGUGGCCCCUGUGCCAUUUCCCCGUCCCGGCCCCCGAGGAGGCGGGUCCAGGUGUGAGCGACACAUU
Long non-coding RNA from Pipistrellus kuhlii (Kuhl's pipistrelle), 716 nucleotides. RefSeq lists it as uncharacterized. The transcript has 2 exons. The record is from RefSeq and is a predicted model, not a curated record. NCBI's taxonomy places the organism in Eukaryota, Metazoa, Chordata, Mammalia, Chiroptera, Vespertilionidae.